Anser cygnoides (Swan goose) is the source of this 1349-nucleotide long non-coding RNA. The record is from Ensembl. Lineage: Eukaryota; Metazoa; Chordata; Aves; Anseriformes; Anatidae.
GGGGGCAGGAGCAGGGAAGGAUGGAAAGCUUCAAACCUCCAACUGAAGGGUGCCCACUGCAGAAACACUUCUAUCACCAUGAGGCCUCUGGACCAUUCUGGGUACAGCUUGCUCUCUGAAUAGGCAUCUCGUUUGAUAACAUUCGCAAAUAUUUAUUGGAGAUACUUUUCUCCUGUUUGCCAGCCCUGGACAGGAGCCUUGCACAGUCAUUGCCAAAAUAAGUGCCAGGUUCAUUAUGUCUGAAAACUGAGGAAAGUCAGAGCUCACAAUGGCCUUUGCCCAAACCAAGGUUGUUUGAAAGUCAUUACCUGGCAUCCUCCUAGAGCAGAGGGCCUUGAGAAAGAUAUGGCACCAAGGAGAUAUUUCCCAGACAAGGAGAAGGAUAGGGCUAAAUCUGAAUAUGUUGUUUCAUCCUGAGUUUGGGGAGACUUAUUAAAACCAGUCAUCAGACCAAUGGUCUCUACAGAAAGGCUGGGAUUAUCCCAGGGAGUGGCAGGGUACCACCACACAGAGGUACAAAUCAUCUGUCAGUGGAACAAGGCAGCCCUGGGGCAGGGCCUGGCACCAGGGAUUAGGGAGUGUUUCUUCAUUUGAGGAAACUUUCCAAACUGCACUGUUCCACAGUUUGAACAAAGUGGCUUAAUAUCAAACAUUGAUCUAAAAUGGAGUAUGGGCGUGAAACUGCCAAUGUCCCUCUUUGAAAGAUCAAAACAAAGGUAUAUUCCCACAAAAGGGAGUGGUGGAGAGAGAUUAGGAGACAGUGAUAAGCCAAGGUUGGGGCAUGUGAUACCAGGAAAACCAUGGGUUGGGUCAGGGUAUCGGGGCUGGCUCAGGCAAAGCUGAUGUGGCAAGAUCUGGCUGUGCCCUAUAAAUCCAGCCCCAGCCUCAGCAUUGUAUAUUGACCCUGCCUGAAGGACUGAGUACCCUGUUGCAAAGAAGAAGCCAUGAAGGAAGAGAUCUGUGUUGCAUUCCUGGCUGUUUGUCUCCUUGUGCUUGGAGGCACUAAGGCAGCUCCCCUGGACUCUAACAGCUUUAAUGGGAACAGUGCUGGGGAUGGCAGCUUCAACAACAAUGGGAAUGGCUUCGAGCCCCCAGUCAUCUAUGAUCCUGUGGGUGAUGCAGGGAACCAUGGCAGCUUCGACUGGAAUAGGGUUGGUGACCGCAGCUUCAAUGACAAUGGGGAUCCUGUGGGUGAUGCAGGGAACCAUGGCAGCUUCGACUGGAAUAGGGUUGGUGACCGCAGCUUCAAUGACAAUGGGGUAAGAAUUGAGGUCCUCCCUGGGAUAACUAAGGAGGGAUUUGGGGGAGGUAACCCACAAUGUAUUCAGUUUCUCCUUUGCUUAGGGUAA